UGUCCUAUCUCUUUUUUUAUUUUUUAAAUGUAUCUUUCUUAUGGGAUAGAGUAACAUUGCCAUGAUCUGAAGGAGGAGGAUUUGUUUGUGUCCUCCUUCUAUAUGAAAUGGCUAAACAGAAAAAA
RNAcentral lists this small nucleolar RNA (125 nucleotides) under Myotis brandtii (Brandt's bat). RNAcentral describes it as "Small nucleolar RNA SNORA29". It matches the Rfam family "Small nucleolar RNA SNORA29". Rfam says of the family: ACA29 is a member of the H/ACA class of snoRNA that guide the sites of modification of uridines to pseudouridines. The record is from Rfam by way of RNAcentral. Lineage: Eukaryota; Metazoa; Chordata; Mammalia; Chiroptera; Vespertilionidae.